This 281-nucleotide ribosomal RNA is filed under the name uncultured prokaryote. Its description in RNAcentral is "partial 16S ribosomal RNA". It matches the Rfam family "Bacterial small subunit ribosomal RNA", at positions 524 to 803 of the family's 1533-position model. The record is from RNAcentral.
UACGUAGGGGGCUAGCGUUAUCCGGAAUUACUGGGCGUAAAGGGUGCGUAGGUGGUUUCUUAAGUCAGAGGUGAAAGGCUACGGCUCAACCGUAGUAAGCCUUUGAAACUGAGAAACUUGAGUGCAGGAGAGGAGAGUAGAAUUCCUAGUGUAGCGGUGAAAUGCGUAGAUAUUAGGAGGAAUACCAGUUGCGAAGGCGGCUCUCUGGACUGUAACUGACACUGAGGCACGAAAGCGUGGGGAGCAAACAGGAUUAGAUACCCGGGUAGUCCCUGAGCGGG